Molecule: ribosomal RNA, 253 nt
Filed under: uncultured bacterium
Lineage: Bacteria
Description: partial 16S ribosomal RNA
Rfam family: Bacterial small subunit ribosomal RNA
Source: RNAcentral
UACGUAGGGGGCAAGCGUUGUCCGGAAUUAUUGGGCGUAAAGAGCGCGUAGGCGGUCCGAUAAGUCGGCUGUGAAAGUCAGGGGCUCAACCCUUGGAAGCCGGCCGAUACUGUCGGACUAGAGUCCGGAAGAGGCGAGUGGAAUUCCCGGUGUAGCGGUGAAAUGCGCAGAUAUCGGGAGGAACACCGGUGGCGAAGGCGGUUCUCUGGGCCUGUACUGACGCUGAGGAGCGAAAGCGUGGGGAGCGAACAGG